This 1766-nucleotide unclassified non-coding RNA is filed under the name Pocillopora damicornis (cauliflower coral). Its description in RNAcentral is "uncharacterized LOC113675051, transcript variant X2". Lineage: Eukaryota; Metazoa; Cnidaria; Anthozoa; Scleractinia; Pocilloporidae. The record is from RNAcentral.
AAUUAAAAGAAGGCGUUCACUCUUGUUUACGCUGUUUAAGCGACGCUUACGGUAUCCUAGCUCCUAUGAUCAUCCAGCUCUGGAAGCUUAAAAUCUUCGCCUCUUCUUCGCCCGGAAAAUCGCUCUAGGUCAAGAGAAAUUGAACUUAUCUUUGGAAGCAUAGAUAAACGAUGGCAGAUCCUGAGAACCCAGAUACCACAGCUAAAUCUGACGAGGCCCCCGCGGAGAGAUCCGGAAGCGGAGGAGCUGGAUCUGGGGAUAUCGGGCUAACUAUGUCGUAUAUCAUGUCGAUUCCCGGAAUACUUAAGAUCGUUGAAUUUUUCACGCUGUUGUUGGCAUUCGCCAUAGCUGCUGAUGUGUAUUACGGACGCUCGGGAAGGAUGGAUUUCUUCCUCUUUGUUACUGUGACGUCAUGGCUUCUUGUGAUCGCCGUAUUUCUCUUGUUUGCAUUCAAUAUCAUAGCAAAAAUCAACCUCAGUAUUGACUGGAAUAUCCCGGUUUUUGUAUUUGCUGUUGUAGCCGCAGUUCUUCUUCUGUUGAGUUCUGCCUUGAUAGCUGAUACGGUAGCAGGUUUUCGUGGUUUAGCGGUGUUUGACAAAGUACGCGCUGCUGCAGCUUUUGGAUUUAUCUCCAUGUUCGUCUUCAUCGCAGAUGCUGUUGUUUAUUUCCUGAAGAGAACUGGAAGGAUGUAAACCAACGCCCACAUUUUGAUUCACUGUGUGGUCCUGCGACUUUGUUUAAACUUUUUAAUAGCUAUUUCGGUCACCGUUAAUUUGAAUUUAAUCGUUGUAUCUAUAUACCUUUCCUCUAUAACGAAUGAAAAAAAUCUAGAAAUAGACAGGGAGAAUGCGUCUAUUUAACCCUUUAACUCCAAGAAGUGAUUAAGAUGUAACUUCUCCCUACAAUAUCCAUACAUUAUCCAGUACACAGGUAAUGAGAAUACCCAAUCUAAUCAGGCAGUGUGAGUUGUUUUUAUCUUAAGGCAAAUUCUCGCAAAUAAUUUACGAGGAAAUAUGUAGCAGCCAGAGGGGAGAAUUAGCAAUCAGAUCUUGGGAAAGGGUAACGGUUGAGAGAACGAGUUAUAGCGUAAGCAACUCGCUAUCAUGCACUGAGCCGCCAUGUUUGAUCUGGGCCUCGAGAGCCUGCUGUCUCUUCCACCCUCAGCGGCAUCAGAAUCCUAAGAAAUGCUGCCUUUGCUGCGAUGCUAGAUCUAAAAUUAUACGCCUGCACUACAGGCAAAAAGUAUAUUUAGCUAUAGUCAUUCAAAUAAUUUCUUAGGUAGCGAUACAAUCUGAGCGUAUAUUCUACUUUUAACCAAUCACUAACGAGUAUAUUCCAUAUGAUUAUGCUCUUAUUAUGAAAUGGGCAUUGAACAACGGCAACACUGACUUUGGCAGCUUCCUACUAAUUUUUAUGCCAGUCAUUAUCAUAGUAGUUUAGAAUCUAUUGAUAUCGUGCUUUAAGCUAUAAUUCACCUCAAUCAAACAAUCAACCCACCUAACAAAAUUAAGUUAAUGCAAGUAGUCGUCAUCAAACCCAUGCGGAAAGAAAGAAAAAAAAGAGAUUUUCUCAUCGUUUAGCGCGUUAAUAAGGCCUUAAAACCUUCAGGGAACUUGACAUGUGCUGUAAUAGUACCAUAAAUAUAUGCUUUAUUUUCUCUGGUAUAACUAAUGGCAGUUUUAUGCUAAAAUCUCUCUGACUCCUCGUAAUUAUGACUAAGGAGUGGAGCUCAUUGUGUCUUCAAUUAAACCUUGUGUGAACCACGA